This is a long non-coding RNA of Stylophora pistillata, 1166 nucleotides long. The record is from RefSeq and is a predicted model, not a curated record. NCBI's taxonomy places the organism in Eukaryota, Metazoa, Cnidaria, Anthozoa, Scleractinia, Pocilloporidae.
GAAAAAGUAUAUUCUGGAUGCAAAGGAAGACCAAGUUUUAAUAUUCCUAAAGAGCAGCUGGAGAUGUUUUUGGAAUACAACUUUUCAGUUCCCCAAAUUGCUGAAAUGCUGGGAGUAAGCCUCAGUACAAUUAAGCGAAGAUUUCGAGAUUAUGAUCUUUCAGUUUCUCAAACCUACUCUGCUAUUGGCGAUAAUGAACUUGACGAAAUAAUACAGCAGUUGGUAUCCGAAUUUCCGAAUUGCGGAUACAGGAGGAUGACUGGUUUUUUGCGUGGAAGGGGGAUACAUGAACAACAAUUCCGUUUAAGAGAGUCCAUGCGAAAGUUUUAACCCCGAAGGUGUUUGUUACGUGCUUUGCAACUGACAUCAGUUUCCAGAAGGGUAUACAAUGUGAAGUCACCCCUGGCACUAUGGCACAUGGAUGGCCACCACAAACUGAUUAGAUGGAAAUUUGUGAUCCACGGCUGCAUUGAUGGAUACUCUAGAAAAAUCAUGUUUCUCAAAUGCAGCACAAAUAACAAGGCUCAGACUGUGCUUGAUGCCUUUUUAGAAGCUGUGGGUAACCAUGGAUUACCUUCAAGAGUCAGAGGUGAUCACGGUGGUGAAAAUUUUGAUGCUGCCCGAUAUAUGUUCAACCAUCCAGAGAGGGGGCCAGACAGAGGAUCAUUUAUAACAAGAAAAAGCGUGCAUAAUCAGCGCAUAGAAAGACGUUGGGUUGAUGUCUAUGUUUGCUGUGCUUACACAUUCUACUGUUUGUUUGAUUUCCUGGAAAAUGAGGGCUGUCUUGACAUAGACAGUGACCUUCAGAUGUUUUGCCUGCAUUAUGUCGUUGCUCCAAGAAUUAACAACUGCUAGGAACAGUUCAUAAUUGGGUGGGAUAAUCAUCCUAUUGAAAGUGCUAGAAAUAUGACUCCCAACCAACUUUGGAUAAGGGGAAUGUUGGGCAUUGCAAAUGAUGAUGGAACUAUUGCGAAAGAGGUCUGGCUGAAUGAGAGAGAACAAGAAAGUUAUCGGAUAGACUAUGAAGGGAUAUUGCCAGAGUCAACUGAACGAGAUGACUUAAUAGAUGUACCGGAUGUUCUUUGCCCAUUAAGUGAUGAAGCACUGGCUGAAUUGCAUAGAACUAUCAACCCAAAGCGUGCAAAUGUCAAUAGGGGUGUUGACAU